GACGUAGGGCGCAAGCGUUGUCCGGAUUUAUUGGGCGUAAAGAGCUCGUAGGCGGCUUGUCGCGUCGACUGUGAAAACCUGCGGCUCAACCGUAUGGUCUGCAGUCGAUACGGGCAGGCUAGAAUUCGGUAGGGGAGACUGGAAUUCCUGGUGUAGCGGUGAAAUGCGCAGAUAUCAGGAGGAACACCGGUGGCGAAAGCGGCGCGCUGGACCACUACUGACGCUGAGGAACGAAAGCUAGGGGAGCAAACAGG
This 254-nucleotide ribosomal RNA is filed under the name uncultured bacterium. Its description in RNAcentral is "partial 16S ribosomal RNA". It matches the Rfam family "Bacterial small subunit ribosomal RNA", at positions 524 to 776 of the family's 1533-position model. The record is from RNAcentral.